GAGCAAUGGUGUUAUUUGAUGGUAAUCCAUUAAAAUACAUAUUUCACUGACUUUUAAUCAGUGGGUCACAGGUUCAAAUCCUGUACGGCUCACCA
RNAcentral lists this transfer RNA (95 nucleotides) under Rhodospirillales bacterium. RNAcentral describes it as "tRNA-Lys". The stretch from base 24 to 92 matches the Rfam family "tRNA". From Rfam's summary of the family: Transfer RNA (tRNA) molecules are approximately 80 nucleotides in length. Lineage: Bacteria; Pseudomonadati; Pseudomonadota; Alphaproteobacteria; Rhodospirillales. The record is from RNAcentral.